This 1364-nucleotide unclassified non-coding RNA is filed under the name Owenia fusiformis. RNAcentral's name for it is "misc RNA OFUS_LOCUS410". Lineage: Eukaryota; Metazoa; Annelida; Polychaeta; Sabellida; Oweniidae. The record is from RNAcentral.
UUAUGGUCACGUGAUAUUUUUUAUCAAAAAAAGUAAAAUAUGAAAAAUAGUGCUUAUUUUGCCGAAUUUAUCACUUUGGUAAAACCUUGAAUACUGCUAACAAAGCGCUAACAUUCAGAUGAAUGAAGAGUCUAUUGCGAAUGUUUGCCCUCUGAAAGUGAAACGGGCCGUCAUCUGAAAAUCGAAGCAAAACAAAAUGACUACAGCCAUCCAGUGAUUCCCGUUCAGAUUUGGACCUAUUAUUUACCAAAAAGUUGACAAGGUACCAAAUUACUCUUAAUUAUUAUCAUUUUUGAGUCAUUGUAUCAGUAACAUUAUAAUGGAUCCGACAACAGAUGUUGAAAAGGUAUCUGACUCAGCAGUUGAUCAUGUUAACUCAGAUACAGAUGAGGAUGGUGUUUCUGAUGAUUCCAAAGCAGAAUCUGAAGUGUCCGAAGCCACGAUAGAUUUAGAUGAUGAUGAUGACCAAGUAGAAUCUGAAACAACAAUAGAUUUAGAUGAUGAAGACAAAGUUGAAGCCGAAGCCACUAGAGAUGUAGAUGGUCAUGAUCACAUAGAUAGUACUAAAAUUGCUGAAACUAAUGCUAACCCUGGCAAAAGUAGAACUGGAAAAAAUGGUAAUUCCAGCAAUCAGGCCCGAAAUUGGUUUUGUAUGCGAUGCCAAAUUCAACUCAAAGAUCUUGAUCAUCUUAAGGCUCAUAUGGCCAGUCAUGAUGACCGCAAUGGUACCUUGGAUAUCAUAAGCUGUGAACAGUGUGGAAAACGAUUUGACUAUCGAUAUAAAUUGAAGCGACAUAUGGAAAGUCAUAUGAACAUUGUUCGUGAGAAAAAAUUCAGUUGUGAAUAUUGUGGAAAUUGUUACUCACGAGAAGCAGGGUUGAGACGUCACAGACUCGCUGAACAUGAACCUGACCAGAAAUUGUUCAAGUGCAAGACUUGCGGGAAGUCAUUUGGUGAAAAGAGACCCCUUGUAGAACACGAAAAUAUUCAUACUGGAAUUAAAUCCUUUAUUUGUGACCAAUGUGGUAGAGGAUUUAUCAACAAAUCAUAUUUGGCUAAACAUGAAAAGAGCCACAAUACAGCAGCGAAAAAGGCUUGUCACAUCUGUGGUAAACUAUUUGUGCAAAAUAGAUAUCUCAAAGUCCAUUUGCUGACUCAUACAGGACAAAAAUUAGUUAAAUGUGAACUAUGUUCAAAAUCAUUCACAACUAUGGAAUACCUGAAAAAGCAUAGAGCUAGACAUUUGAAGCCUGCUGUAAAAUCAUUCAAAUGUAACUAUUGUAUCAGUGCAUACACUGAAGAGAGAAAUCUAAGAAGGCACAUGAUGAAACAGCAUUUUAUGACCAUUCCAAAGCAAUAUUAAA